This 66-nucleotide transfer RNA is filed under the name Feresa attenuata (pygmy killer whale). RNAcentral's name for it is "tRNA-Tyr". It matches the Rfam family "tRNA". From Rfam's summary of the family: Transfer RNA (tRNA) molecules are approximately 80 nucleotides in length. Their secondary structure includes four short double-helical elements and three loops (D, anti-codon, and T loops). Further hydrogen bonds mediate the characteristic L-shaped molecular structure. tRNAs have two regions of fundamental functional importance: the anti-codon, which is responsible for specific mRNA codon recognition, and the 3' end, to which the tRNAs corresponding amino acid is attached (by aminoacyl-tRNA synthetases). tRNAs cope with the degeneracy of the genetic code in two manners: having more than one tRNA (with a specific anti-codon) for a particular amino acid; and 'wobble' base-pairing, i.e. permitting non-standard base-pairing at the 3rd anti-codon position. RNAcentral also lists the same sequence under 1 other name. Lineage: Eukaryota; Metazoa; Chordata; Mammalia; Artiodactyla; Delphinidae. The record is from RNAcentral.
AGGUAAAAUGGUCGAGUAGGCAUUAGACUGUAAAUCUAAAGACAGGGGUGAAGUCCUCUUUUUACC